UUUGUGCUGAACGCAAAGUUGGCUUUGUCGGGGAGCAUGAUGUGUUGAGUGAUCUAUUGGGCAUUAAGUUGGAGAUGACUCAUUUGGAUAAGCAUGAUUUACAAACAAAAGCAGAUACCAUUAAGCAUUUAGCUGAUCGUGGUUACCGGGUCAAGUGCAUGUCAGUGAUGGUAGUGGGUGUUAAAGUUGAAGAUCAGGACUUGGGAGAACUGCUAUCACGUCUCUUUGCACUGAUUGAAGAAUUUUCUAUUGUGUAAAGUGGGCCUAAAUUAGAGGCAAAACAAGCAUACAUUGUUGUCCGGCAUGUGAAAUUUUGGCCAUUGAAGAAGGGACCGGGCAAAAAGAUGCUUCUAGAACCGUCAAAUAGUAAUAUCUCAGCACAAAGCCCUGACCAGAUCAAAGCUUGGAUGAAUCUGAUUCUGCAACUUAGGAGAAUACUGGUCCUGUAGGUACAGUUGAAUCAGAUUUGGCUGAUGAUAUUGACCAUGAAGAAUGGUGAGGUUUGCACCAAAAACAACAAAUAGGUAUGCUGCUAAACAAUCAAAUGUUACGGUUCCUGGACCAGAAAACAGGCAUGCAGCCAUGGGGCCAACUUUUGCUCAUCUUGUGAGAAGAUCUGAACCUGAAAGUCAAAGUCAAACCUGUGGUAAGUUACGGGAUGUUUGGUGCACCAAAACUGAAUAAUGAUUCUCAAAGAGGUGGCCCCCAGCAAGUAAAUAGGUACAAGAAAGGACCGAGCCCUCAUUUACCACCUAUGGAUUCUUUAGUAGAGAAAAUUCGAAUAUUGACCCUAAUGGGAUCAGGGACAGAAAAGCUGGUGUUGGUUUCCGACGAUAAGGACACAAAUUUGUACAAUGAAGUUUGCAGUUUGAAGUUCUAUGAAAUGUAGCACUUGUAGAGUGCUACUUAACUUAUUGUUGUAGUAUCCAUGGCUAUACACUAUGCAGUGCUUUGGUAGUCCAUUAAACUAUUAGAGCAGCAAUUAAAUGAUUUUUGGUUCUGACUUUUAGUUUUA
Molecule: long non-coding RNA, 1015 nt
Organism: Erigeron canadensis
Lineage: Eukaryota; Viridiplantae; Streptophyta; Magnoliopsida; Asterales; Asteraceae
Exons: 4
Source: RefSeq, a predicted model, not a curated record